AGUGAACGCUGGCGGUAGGCCUAACACGUGCAAGUCGAACGGCAGCACAGUAAGAGCUUGCUCUUACGGGUGGCGAGUGGCGGACGGGAGAGGAAGACAUCGGAAUCUACUUUUUCGUGGGGGAUAACGUAGGGAAACUUACGCUAAUACCGCAUACGACCUACGGGUGAAAGCAGGGGAUCUCCGAACCUUGCGCGAUUGAAUGAGCCGAUGUAGAAUUAGCUAGGUGGGGGGGUAAAGGCCGGCCAAGGCGAGAAACCGGAGGUGGACUGGGAGGAUGGUCACCCACACUGGAAGUGAGAACCGGCCCAGGAGCCUACGGGAGGCCGCAGUGCGGAAUAUUCGACAAUAGUCGCAAGCCUUAUCCAGCCAUACCACGUAGGUGAAAAAGACCUUCGGGUUGGGAAGACCUUUUGUUGGGAAAAAAAAGCAGCAGGUAAAGACGCAGCUGUUCUGACGGUACCCAAAGAAUAAGCACCGGCUAACUACGUG
RNAcentral lists this ribosomal RNA (492 nucleotides) under uncultured bacterium. Its description in RNAcentral is "partial 16S ribosomal RNA". It matches the Rfam family "Bacterial small subunit ribosomal RNA", at positions 29 to 507 of the family's 1533-position model. The record is from RNAcentral.